This 1336-nucleotide long non-coding RNA is filed under the name Capsicum annuum. Its description in RNAcentral is "long non-coding RNA (CANN_LNC007443)". The record is from RNAcentral. Lineage: Eukaryota; Viridiplantae; Streptophyta; Magnoliopsida; Solanales; Solanaceae.
CAAGUCACUAAUUCACUUCUCAAGUGACCACACUUUAGUAAAUUCAAAACACAAGUUCACAUUUCAAGUCACUACACUUGAUCACUUUCAAGUAACUGAUUUAUUUAUCUUAUAAGUCAAACAAUUGAAUAAGUUUAACAAAGCAAAUAAAUAGAGGCGUCGCAUGUCCCUCUCGCACCAUAUAAUCAUCACAAAAUUCCUAUGGCUUUCAAAGCCUUCUACAACGUACAAUCCCACCUUAAUACUACAUUUAAAGACUUCAUUAUACAAAAAUAGAGAGAAAUCAACUCACCUUUGUUUGGCCUAAAUUUACAAGAAAGAGACAAGCGAUCACCAAAAAAUAGCAAAGCAAUACUUUUUCCGAAUUCGGAUUCUGUCAAACAACAACAUCAACUUACUUGCUACUUCACAUCAAAGGGCAUAAAUUAGGAUAGGCCAUGUUUAAAUAGACAAGAAGCAAUUCAAAAUCCCCAACAACACAACCUAUAUAGUCAAAUCCUCUAUAAAAUUACUACUACUUCACAACCCAAUCAGUGCAUUAUCACUAUCUCUAUACAGUCAAAAGUCAAUAUAUCUUCAAAUAUCAAUAUAUCUUCAAAUCAUAUUUGGAGACAGUCAAUGCCUCACCACACUAAACCAAGAUUUGAUUUUUACAAUUGAGAAAUCAAGAAAUGGACUUGCUUUCUCAAGAAACUUCACAAAUAGGCCCAAAAUUUCGUGUUUUAAUUCUUUACUAGUGAAAACAAGAAUGAACUAACACCCCACAAGGCAAAAUUAGUUCUUUUCAGCAUAAGAGAUCAAAUAGACAGUGAUUUUCUUGAAAUCACCAGGAAAACUCAAGAAACCAGAUACCCAAAAAUUAAGCCAAAAAUAAUGUUACUGCAAAAAUCAGCUGAAAAAUACAUGUUGUCGUCCGUGAGACAUACUAUUGUGAGUUACUGUGGUCACUGAGACGAGGUUGUUACUGUCGUGGUUGAGACGAUGAUGUUGCUGUUAUGUCUGAGACAACGAUGUCGCUGUCGUCGGUGACUGAGGUCGCUGACUUGCUGCCGUCGGUGACUAAGGUCACUGUUGUCGGUGACUGAGGUCACCAUCGUCGUGGCUGAGACGAUGAUUUUGCUGUCGUGGUUGAGACGACGAUGUCGCUAUCAUCACUUACUAAGGUCGCAGACUUGCUGCUGUCGGUGACUGAGGUCGCUGUCGUCGAUGGGAGAUUGGGUUGGUGAGCUGAGGGUAGUUGUAAGGGUAUUCUGAUUAGGCUAAUUAGAAAGGAAUUUCGGAAUUGAGUCCGACUGGGUCAAUAAUUGGGUAUUACAAAAUUGUUGACAAAAUUAAU